Molecule: transfer RNA, 72 nt
Filed under: Cricetulus griseus (Chinese hamster)
Lineage: Eukaryota; Metazoa; Chordata; Mammalia; Rodentia; Cricetidae
Rfam family: tRNA
About the family: Transfer RNA (tRNA) molecules are approximately 80 nucleotides in length. Their secondary structure includes four short double-helical elements and three loops (D, anti-codon, and T loops).
Source: Rfam by way of RNAcentral
GUAGUGAUGGCUCAGUAGUUAGAGCACUGACUGUUCUUCCAGAGGACCUGGGUUCAACUCCCAGCACCCACA